Molecule: unclassified non-coding RNA, 258 nt
Filed under: Hevea brasiliensis (rubber tree)
Lineage: Eukaryota; Viridiplantae; Streptophyta; Magnoliopsida; Malpighiales; Euphorbiaceae
Source: RNAcentral
AUAAGCUGUAAUUAUAAGUUCUCAGGAGUCAAAAUAAUAGGCAUCAUUAGAUAACUGGAUAGCCAAGCGAAAAAGAAAUUGCCCAACAAAACUAAGCCAAAUAAAAUUGCCCAACAAUAUUGUGAACAUCAUACUUUGAGUCUUAUCAAGUUUAUGACCAAAUAAAAAUUGAUUUUUAGAUAAAUGGAUAAUUUGGCAAUGAGUUCCUGAGAUAAAAUAGCCAAGAAAAUUUUCAGUUCAGUAAUUAACACUGCAUAA